This is a long non-coding RNA of Sinocyclocheilus rhinocerous, 915 nucleotides long. RefSeq lists it as uncharacterized. The transcript has 2 exons. The record is from RefSeq and is a predicted model, not a curated record. NCBI's taxonomy places the organism in Eukaryota, Metazoa, Chordata, Actinopteri, Cypriniformes, Cyprinidae.
UGGAGGCCGAUGAUAAUGCUAUUGAAAGUCUGGAAGGACUGUAUCAUCUGCCUAAACUAGAGGAAGUUUCUCUGAGGAACAACCAAAUCUGUAAGCUGUCUGAUCUUGAAUCAUUGGCGUCCUGCACCAAACUGACCAGACUGGACCUGCGUGGAAACCCUGUCCACAAAACUGCCAACAUAGAGUCUGAGCUGAGCCAGCUCCUGCCACUGGUUACUGCUCUGUCCCUUUGAUGUGCAGCAUUAGCUGCUCUGUGUGUGUGUGUGUGUGUGUGUGUGUGUGUGUGAUGCAGUAGAGACUAAUUAGAGCUCACUAACCAUUUCUAAACUGUACCUCAUGUACUGGACCUAAAGGGAUAGUUCAGCCAAAAAUAAAACGUCAGUCAUUUAUCUGUAUUUUGGUAGGCUGAAUGAUAUUUUGAUGAAUGUUCAUGCUGCUCGUUUCCAUGCAAUAACAGUCCUAAUGUAAUGCAAAUGAAAUCAGAAAUCAGAAUAUUUUCAGUGCUGUUAUUAGAUGCGCUUAACUGGCAAAAAAAAAAAACCGGUUUGGAAAGACUUUUUUUGAAAAUUGUAUUUUUGGCUCAACUGUGCCUUUAGAAACGUUCAGCAUCUUGUCUGUAUGUUUGUGUGAUAAAUGACGGUUCACAUUUCAAAUAAAGAUUGACCUAUACAAACUCCACACUGCAUGCUGAUAGAGAGAGAAUCUGCUUUUAGCUCUUGAAGUCCUGAGGGUCCUGUUUUGGGCAGAGAUGUUGUUCUUGCAAUGUAUCAGUGAAGAUGCAAAUAUUCGGCUAUGAGUUUCUUGUACUGUAUGAAUUAGACUUUUUUUUAUUUUUUAGCUCUGCAAAAGUCAAGCAUUUGUGGUGUGAAAGCUGCAGGUAUGAGUCUCCAUGUCAAUAAAGAAACAUGUCUCUUC